This is a long non-coding RNA of Lemur catta (Ring-tailed lemur), 174 nucleotides long. RefSeq lists it as uncharacterized. The record is from RefSeq and is a predicted model, not a curated record. Lineage: Eukaryota; Metazoa; Chordata; Mammalia; Primates; Lemuridae. The transcript is spliced from 3 exons.
CUGAGCAGUGUCAUCGCUGAAGGACAGUUAAAAGUGGACUCUUCCCUCCUCACUGUCUUGUUCAUUCAUUAUGUUGCCUGCCUGUCUCAGAGAGAAAUUGCUCCAUGCCUGGAAAGAGCCCUGGACCCCCUGUUCCUUCUGCAAGAGGCCAAGACAGGGGAGGAGGGUGUUCCG